CCGUGAACCCAUCGAGGUUUUUGAACGCAAGUUGCGCCCGAAGCCAUCCGGUUUAGGGCACGCCUGCCUGGGCGUCACGCAUCGCGUCGCCCCACAUCAUACUUCCCUUAAGGGUAGUCGUGGUGAUUGGGAGC
This 134-nucleotide ribosomal RNA is filed under the name Taraxacum (sect. Naevosa) sp. TL141-2. RNAcentral's name for it is "5.8S ribosomal RNA". The record is from RNAcentral. Lineage: Eukaryota; Viridiplantae; Streptophyta; Magnoliopsida; Asterales; Asteraceae.